CCCGGUAACUGGAGGAACGGGAGCCGUUUUGAUGAGGAAAAUGGGCUGGAGAGAAGGAGAAGGAUUAGGAAAAAACAAAGAAGGCAAUAAGGAACCCAUCCUAGUUGAUUUUAAGACAGACCGAAAAGGUCUUGUUGCAGUAGGAGAAAGAGCAAAAAAGAGGUCUGGGAACUUCUCUGCUGCAAUGAAAGAUCUGCCAGGCAAACAUCCUGUGUCUGCUUUGAUGGAAAUCUGAAAUAAGAGAAGGUGGCAACCACCUGAAUUUCUAUUGGUCCAUGAUAGUGGCCCUGAUCAUUGCAAACGUUUUCUCUUUAGGGGAUUGAUAAAUGGAAGUGCUUACCAGCCCAACUUUGCCAGCCUUAAUAAGAAGCAUGCUAAAGACACAGCAGCUACUGUGGUUCUUCAAGCAAUGGGCCUUGUACCAAAGGACCUCAUGGCUAAUGCCACCUGCUUCAGGAGUGCCUCACAUAGAUAGAUUGAG
RNAcentral lists this long non-coding RNA (481 nucleotides) under Homo sapiens (human). RNAcentral's name for it is "HSALNT0016007". The record is from RNAcentral. Lineage: Eukaryota; Metazoa; Chordata; Mammalia; Primates; Hominidae.